AAAGUCGAGCGAGUCUGCCCUUGAAAGAUCGGAGUGCUUGCACUCUGUGAAACAGAUACAGGCUAGCGGCGGACGGGUGAGUAACACGUGGGUAAACCUGCCCCAAGAGAUCGGGGAUAACACCUGGAACAGAUGCUAAUACCGGAUAACAACAGAUGAUGCCUAUCAACUGUUUAAAAAGAUGGUUCUGCUAUCACUCUUGGGAUGGACCUGCGGUGCAUUAACUAGUUGGUAGGGGUAACGGGCCUACCCAAGGCGAUGAUGCAUAGCCCGAGUUGAGAGACUGAUCGGGCCACAUUGGGACUGAGACACGGCCAAAACUCCUACGGGAGGCAGCAGUAGGGAAUCUUCCACAAUGGACGCAAGUCUGAUGGGGCAACGCCGCGUGAGUGAAGAAGGGUUUCGGCUCGUAAAAGCUCUGUUGUUGGCGAAGAAGGACAGGGGUAGUAACUGACCUUUGUUUGACGGUAAUCAAUUAGAAAGUCACGGCUAACUACGUGCCAGCAGCCGCGGUAAU
This 517-nucleotide ribosomal RNA is filed under the name uncultured Lactobacillus sp. Its description in RNAcentral is "bacterial SSU rRNA". It matches the Rfam family "Bacterial small subunit ribosomal RNA", at positions 58 to 524 of the family's 1533-position model. Lineage: Bacteria; Bacillati; Bacillota; Bacilli; Lactobacillales; Lactobacillaceae. The record is from RNAcentral.